GCCGAGCGUGGUGGCGCACGCCUGUAAUCCCAGCUACUCGGGAGGCUGAGGCAGGAGAAUCGCUUGAACCCAGGAGACAGAGGUUGCAGUGAGCCGAGAUCGCACCACUGCACUUCAACCUGGGCGAUAAAGCGAGACUCUGUCUCAA
Molecule: non-coding RNA, 148 nt
Organism: Homo sapiens (human)
Lineage: Eukaryota; Metazoa; Chordata; Mammalia; Primates; Hominidae
Rfam family: Metazoan signal recognition particle RNA
About the family: The signal recognition particle (SRP) is a universally conserved ribonucleoprotein. It is involved in the co-translational targeting of proteins to membranes.
Source: Rfam